GGAGGGGUCUGAAUCCAGGCAGCACUGGGUCACCAAGUGAUUGGGCUUAGGAACCAAAGACAAUGGGUACAGUAUUCCUCCCAGAAGAUGCAAUGACAAUGAAAAUGAUGGUGUGGGACAGUGAAUUGAACCCUUACCUUGUCGCUUAUAGUGUGCUUGUCAGGGAAGUCCUAGGUCUUGGUGUUUGUUGUCAGGAAUAUUUAGUUCCAGUGACUAAAAUGGAACUAAUCCUGCUCAAUAAAAAUAGACUUUCACAUUUGUAAAAUUUCCAAUAGGAAUAACAACGUUAUUAAGUAAAAGUUUAAGCCAAGAACUUCCUAAACCAGCAUUUUCCUUGUAUUUCCUCUAAACGGGGAAAAGGACCAUUAAGAGUAGAAAUUUGAUUCUUCAUAUGUAUCAUAAAAGGAGUUUCAUCAGAAGGUACAUAAGAAGGACCUACUGCAUAGCACAGGGAACUCAAUGUUCUGUAAUAACCUAUACAUGAAAAGAAUCUGAAAAAGAAUGGGUAUGUGUAUGUACAUGCAUAGCUGAAUCACUUUGCUGUAUACCUGAAACUAACCCCACAACACUGUAAAUCAACUAUACUCCAAUAGAAAAGAAAAAUUAAAUUAUAAAAGAAACAAUUUGAUCGUUUAAACAGAUGGAACUGAUAAAAUCAUCCUGUCGUGUUCAACUUACUGACUUGCUUGCAUCACUUUGUACCUGGUGUAACUCAGACAAUGACAACAACAACAACCAAAAAAAAAAAAAAAAAAAGGAAAAAAAAAAAAGACGACACAUCAGGUAUAAAAACACAACAUUCAGGAUGUAUUAUAUCAUAAGCUCCCCCUUGGGAAGCAGUUAAAAUAUCAAAGGCCAUGCAAUUUUGAAGGACCACUUUUCUUAUCAUGAGACUUUAGAACUGAGCAAGCUAUUGGCUUGAUGACUAUCAUUCAAAGUUUGCUCAGUGAAUUUUGUUAAAGCCACUAAGGGAGGGAUGAUAUCUUCUAUUCCAAGUGAAAAAAUGAAUAGACUGGCUAAAUGGUCCAACUGAUUGAAACUCAGGCAUGCUCACAUUAAAAGCAGAGUGUUGAGGGCUGUUGUCCAGGCCCCUAUGUAUAUAGGUGAUCUUAAGCCCCCCAAAAACUAAUUGUGCAUCUUUCUAACCAACCUGGGGAGAGCUAAGGCCAUAAAUUUGUUCUACAAAUCCAUAGAUCCCAUUAGGAUCUACCCAAUAUUUAAUAUCUAGUGAAAAGGAAUAUUUAUGGCCAGGUUUAGAACAGGUGUCAUGAAAUCAACCAGGUUAAGAAGAUCCCACUUAGUAAUAUUGGCAGCAAUGAUAGCUUGCUUGGUACUAGAAUUUCUUUCUUCUAAAAUAAAAUUUCUAAGAGCCAUGCCAGGCCUCAGAGAGGAUAAACCUACGGAGAUGACCUAGGAGUACUGGACUGAGGUAACUGGGUUUGUAAACCCAGCAAUUGGGUUGAUUUUUGAAACUUGGAAAUGGUUAAGCUCAAGGAAUAAAUAUAUUUGGUUUGUAAGCAAAAUAUGAAAAAAUUAUCGAAGUAAUUAGUAUACAGUCCUGGUCCAGCAUCUUGGGUUAGAUGUCUACUUCAGAUGUCAUCUUCAUCUUCUUCUGGUCUUGUAGUGCUGGUCUAAGGUACUUGAAACUGGGCGUCAGAAACAGGAGUUGCAGUUCAUUUAGGAAAUGCGGCCUAAAAGGGCCCCUUCCUUGGCUAUAAAGAGUCCUUUGAUGUCUUUUCCAGUAUGCAUAAUCUCCUGGUUGCAGAUCAUGGGGUAUCUCUUCUUUAUCCAAAAACAGAUUGCUGUGAUAAGCUUCAGAAACAAACGUUAGAAUAAUGCAACAUAACAACAAAGAGCCAUCUGAAUCUUUGGCAGUGACUAUACAAAAAAAAAAUAAAUAAACAACAACAACAACAACAAAAAAAAACAAAAAAAAAAAAACCCUCAAAAACAACACUAGAAAUCUUUUUUUUUUUUUUUUUUUUUUUUUUUUUUUUUUUUUGUUACAUCUGCAACAUGCCAAAGUUCCUGGGCCAGGGGUCAAACCCAUGCCACAGCAAUGACCCAAGCCAUAGCAGUGACAAUGCUGGAUUCUUAACCUGCUGAGCCACCAGGUUCAUUCCAACACUAGAAUUUAAUGUCCACCGAAACAAUUUCUUUUCUCUAUAAAAUUAUUUCAAUUUCUACCAAAUGACUAAUUUAUUUGCAAAAUAAAUCUGGCUUCAAUAAACUUAGCCUGAUUAUUUAUGUAAGAGGCAUUUACAGUACAUGGAAAGUUGAUAAAAGCCUUCGGAACACAUUAGUAGACUGAUAGCAGCAAGAGAUUUUUCUGUUCUUAUACUAACUCCCCAAGUUUCUUAGGAUGAGAUUAAUUUUACACUCCAUAGAAAAAUAGGAGCUCAGCUCAAAACAAGGUGCCUCUUGGCUAGUUCAAAUCAAAAAUUCUGAAGGAUCAAGAAAAGUCACAGCAAGCUGGUCAUGUUCCAAGGUUAUCACUGUUCACCCUCAUUAAAACCUGUAGCUUAAAGUUGAAAAGUUGUUGAGUUCCUACAGUGCCUGUCAGAUAGAUAGUCAAGGCCUAUACACAUGUCCAAACCCAGACUCUCAGAUGCUCUUUGCAAAAACACUGAGAGAUGAGUUUCCUGCCAAGUAAGUCUAUUAACAGAUGAAAUGUGCACGGAGUAAUCAUACAGGCUACUUAAGUUGGCUGUCCUGGAAAUUUUCAUAAGAAAUCUCAAACUGAACUUUUAAAAGGCAUCAAGGCCAGGAAAGCCAUGUCAAGGGCUUGCCAUCAGAUUCUGCCUACAAUAUCUAUAGAUUUGGGUGUAUUCCUCUCUUCUCGAGGUCACCAAUAUAUCUCGAGAUUCCUGCACCUGCCAGGAGGUGGCAUUUCUUAUUCACUUGAUAAGGCUGCAGGGGACCUAAGGGUCUCCAAUUUCUGGAAAGAACAGGUAGAGAGAAAUGAUAAAUGUUACAAUUCUACUUACAAAAGUAUAAUUUACCAAAUUGCUAUGUCAUAAUUAGCUUGAGGGGAAGGGUUUCCUUAUAUCUGGAAAACAGAUGAAAAACGACUAAUAUUUCAGAUAAAAAAAUUAUGACCGUAUUCAUUAGUUAUCUCAGUCCUUUCUGACUAGUCUUUGAUCUUAAUUUUCUGUUAACAGUUUUAUGAAGUUACCAGGUUUUCCAUUAGAAUUUUUAAUUUCUUACCCAGUUUAGCAGUAUGAUCUGAAAGUUAUCAGAAACCUGUACUUGUCAAAAAGUCCUUUCUAAAACUCUUCUUGAAGAUAAAGCAUUAUUUUUUUUUUCUUUUUUCUUUUUAAGGCUGCACCCACAGCAUAUGGAAGUUCCCAGGCUAGGGGUCAAAUUGUAGCUGUCGGCCUACACCACAGCCACAGCAAUGCAGGAUCCGAGCUGCGUCUGCGACCUACACCACAGCUCACAGCAACAGCGGAUCCUUAACCCCCUGAGCUGAGCGAGGCCAGGGAUCAAGCCUGCAUCCUCAUGGAUGCUGGUCGGACUUGCUAACCUCUGAGCCACAAUAGGAACUCCGAUAACUUAUCCAUAAAUGACAAUGAACUUAAAAAGGCAAGGUUAAAGAUCUGAUUACAGUGCUAUUGACAAAGAAAGUUGGUUGUUGUUGUGGCAAACAUUUUAAGAUGCUAAGUACAAUUACUGCUGAUAAUAUCUACCAGGACAUAGUCAACUUUUAGAAAUUCCAUAUAAUCUCUAAAAUAUUCAUACUAUGACAUUUACUCACACAGUAUAAAGUUUAUUAGCACACAUUUGACAGUAUUUUCCAUGUAAUUUAACAUACCAAAUAAGUCCAAUUAGUUUAAUAUCUUUCCUUCAUAAGGAGAAAACAAUUCUCUUGAGGUGUUCCAGGGGCCCUUUAGAAAACCUCAAAGAUAGAGGUUAAACUUCAGUUAGAAUUUGAACUUUGGGAAUUUUGUCAAAAAUAUCAAAAAGGUUUCAAAACACUUAGUCAAAUAGGAGGAUAGGUCACUAUGGAACAUACUCAUUCACUUUAACAAAGUAACAAUGAAAGACUUCAAAAGCAAAUACACAAAGUUGUAACACAUUAUUUAAAAGGUAAAGAAACUUUACAACCUGCUAUUAAUCUGGUAUCUCAUUUACAUAUAAAUUACUUAAAAAGUUUAUCAUAAUUUUUCUUACUGACAAAUUUUGUUAACAGGAAUACGAUUUUAUUUGCGUUCUAGUAGGUAGUUAACGUUGAUAACUCUAAAGACAUAUCUGUAUUAAUUAAACUGAUAACUUAAACUUGUUUUCAUUCAUUAAUAGUUUACCUUACAUCCCAUGAUCCUGAAGUUCAUUUGGAUUUUUUUAAAAAAUAUAUUUUAAGUAUUUAAAUAAGUGCUUAAUUUCCUUUGGGCCAAUUAAAUAGAGCUUUUCACAAAUUAAUUUUGGCAAUACUAAUUAUCUACAGCUCAUAUAUACAGAUAAUGAGGUAGAGGUGAAAAAUUAGCUAGGUAAAGCAGCAUGCUAUGAUGACAGAGCACAGGAGAGGGGAAGGAACUGGAAGGAUAUCAAGGGGUCUGAAACAGUUAUUUCAUCCAUUUGGACCUUGUCUGAAAAGCUAUGUUUUAGAUAACAUUCUAAGGAAGCUUUCAGUUCUACUAACAUUCCCAAACCUCCCAAAUUCAGGCUCCUGUGUCCAACAUGCAACUAAAAUCAAACAUGGAGACUCUGAUAUUUGGAGAGAGAGAGAAAUAUUUGUUUCAUUUAGCCAAAGCGAGGGCACUGAAGAGCAAAAACUUAGUUCCAUUUUAACAAAGAAGCUAAUAUAGGGAGUUUUAUGUGGUUAGGAAGCAAGAGAGAGGGGGUAUCAGGACACUGAGGGGGAAAUCUGUGUUUCUUCAGUCUCAGAAAAACACCUGGUGCAACCAGACGUCUGGGUACCAGCAGCUCCGUCUUACCUUCCUUAAAGGCAUCCAGUCCUUCUGCAAAAUACACUCAUAUACUCUCCUUGUGACCCUGGAGUUAUCUUCUCUUGCUUGACCAAGAAUCAGUAUUUUGGCAAUCAAAAAUUCUAUCAUGAGAACAAGGGGUGCCAGGCAGGAAGUGGGUGAUUAACAUGUGUGACUAGACAAGGUCUAAUCAGAAGUUAAAUUGACUGCAGUUGCUAAAAUGUUAGGAGGUACUAAGAUCACAAGGGGCACAGCUACACACGUCUAUAUUCCAGUUGAAAUGGACUUUUUAGCAGAAAAAAAGAGUUAAGAAGUUAAAUAUUUUUUCCUUUUUAAAAAAACACAACUGUAGAAAAAGGAAACAAAUAAGUACAGCAUGGUCAUUCGGAUCACUAGAACAACAGUAACAAAAACCUGAAAGCAAAAUAAUUGACUAUUUACAUGAUAUGCUAGAAUAGCAAACCACUUAAGGAUCAAUCACAUUUGGUGGGUAUGAUGAUGUAGGGAGAAAUAGGGAGAAAAAAAUUUGCCUUAUAUUUUUGCAUUAUGCCCAAUGGUGUUACAUACAUUUUUAUUUAUUACAGAGUCCAAGCUUAUACACUCAUCCCACAACAGACCAAUAAAUAGACUAGUUGCUGGGGCAAGGAAUAGCGACCUUAUUCUAAAAGUCAGCAGAUGGAAAAGAUAGUGGACUAGCAUCCCAAAGAACCAUUUUACCCAAGUUAGAAUUCAGGAGGCUUUUAUACUAAAAGGGUGGAAGUGUAAUGGUUGUUGCAAAAUUCUUGGUUCAGAAUCCUGUGUUCUUGCACCUGUCCAUGUAGGUCUCAUCACAAUGUUCCCAUAAACAUCCAACAAAACAAAUGCUAUUCUCUGUUUUGCAACAUUUUAUCUCUAUGUAUGGAAAAGUGUUAAUACCUUUAAGGGUCAGAGUCUUGAGAGUGGGAUGAUUUAUACAUUUCAGGCUGUGAGCAACACUCUUUAACUCAUAGCAAAAGCAAUAUUAGAAAAAAAAGGUAAACAUAAAAGAAACAGAUCCAAUAUGGAGUUAGAUUUGUUCUUUCCUAUUACAUUUUUACUAGCCUACAGAAUUUACCCAAAUAGGACUCCAUGCCUUCUCCAUUCACAGGCGAAUGUUUUGCACUUGAGCCUGCAAUUGAAAGGAAAUUUACAUAGAUCCAAACAACAUAUAGAUUCACUUAUAUUACCAGUGCUGUGCUAAGAAUUUGAGAGAGAAUGGAUGUCCGAUGGGUGAGGACAUGAGUUAUCUGCCAGAUAAAUAUUAGAUUGGUUCACCUCUUGAGACUUACAGUCAUUUUGAAAAUACAUGUAACUGUAAAUUAUGAGGCCCAAGCACUGUUUUAAUUCCCCUUUCCUUGGUUAACCUUCCACAAGGCAUAAUAUUGUUCCUGUUGUUCUUGUGAUCUGAACGACCAUGCUGUGUUUAUCUAUGCUCCAGACAAAGCCUUAAAGAAAAUAAAGUUUGAGUAUUUUUUUUCCAAAUGAUGUGACU
RNAcentral lists this long non-coding RNA (6435 nucleotides) under Sus scrofa (pig). RNAcentral's name for it is "lncRNA (ENSSSCG00000061057.1)". Lineage: Eukaryota; Metazoa; Chordata; Mammalia; Artiodactyla; Suidae. The record is from RNAcentral.